This 319-nucleotide ribosomal RNA is filed under the name uncultured bacterium. RNAcentral's name for it is "bacterial SSU rRNA". It matches the Rfam family "Bacterial small subunit ribosomal RNA", at positions 86 to 422 of the family's 1533-position model. The record is from RNAcentral.
GCAAGGGGAGCGGCAGACGGGAGAGUAACACGUGGGAACAUGCCCUUCAGUUCGGAACAACCCAGGGAAACUUGGGCUAAUACCGAAUACGUCCGUAAGGAAAAAGAUUUAUCGCUGAAGGAUUGGCCCGCGUCUGAUUAGCUAGUUGGUGAGGUAACGGCUCACCAAGGCGACGAUCAGUAGCUGGUCUGAGAGGAUGAUCAGCCUCACUGGGACUGAGACACGGCCCAGACUCCUACGGGAGGCAGCAGUGGGGAAUAUUGGACAAUGGGCGCAAGCCUGAUCCAGCCAUGCCGCGUGGGUGAUGAAGGCCCUAGGG